AACGAACGCUGGCGGCAGGCCUCAUACAUGCAAGUCGAGCGAUUAAGACUCCUUCGGGAGUGUAUAAAGCGGCGAACGGGUGAGUAACAGGUGGAUGAUCUACCUUCCGGUGGGGGAUAACGGCUGGAAACGGCCGCUAAUACCGCAUUCGGUUAAUACGCUGCGGCGUAUUAAAGAAAGGCGCUUCAAAGCGCCGCCGGGAGAUGAGUCCGCCCCCCAUUAGCUAGUUGGUGAGAUAACAGCUCACCAAGGCAACGAUGGGUAGCCGAACUGAGAGGUUGAUCGGCCACACUGGAACUGAGACACGGUCCAGACACCUACGGGUGGCAGCAGUAGGGAAUAUUGGGCAAUGGGCGAAAGCCUGACCCAGCCAUGCCGCGUGAGUGAUGAAGGUCCUAGAGAUUGUAAAACUCUUUUCUGAGGAAAGAAUGAAUAGGGAAGGAAAUGUCCUUAUUUUGACGGUACCUCAGGAAUAAGGAACGGCUAACUCCGUGCCAGCAGCCGCGGUAAAACG
This 514-nucleotide ribosomal RNA is filed under the name uncultured bacterium. RNAcentral describes it as "bacterial SSU rRNA". It matches the Rfam family "Bacterial small subunit ribosomal RNA", at positions 29 to 527 of the family's 1533-position model. The record is from RNAcentral.